CAACAGUGCACAUGUUCCUUGGACUGCAGUCUCCUUGAACGAUAGGACCAGGGUAUCCCAACUGUGAAGCUAAUGGUCUGUAUUGGCAAAAAGAGGCCCAUCUGUGUCUCAAAAACACACCAGUUUGUUGGCCAUGUGGCAGCUGAGAUUUCGGCAAAUUACCUUCCUUGCUCCUACAUUAUCUAAAAGAAGCCUGAAUUGUCUUUGAUGGGCAAUUUUAACACGUGGGAAAGUGGAGACUCUUCCUGAGAGCUCUUUGUUUCGAAGAAGUAGGCUCCACAGCCAGAAGACCAUUUCAGAUCAUCUUUCUCAGGGAGAUACUAACAUUACACUUACGAUGGGGCAUCGUUAGAAGAUCGUAAGUGAAGGAAAUCCACUAAUUCCUCCAAAGGAAGACAUAUGCUCACUACACAAGUCCUCCCUUGCAACUCAAAUCAAGUGCAUUUUAACGCGACAGCUUCGGUUGCUGCGUGUAAAUGCAGCUGAGAGUUUGAAGUCUUCCCCUAUAACGAAGCUGUUAUCAAUCUGAGUACCCACACACGCUCCUGGCAAAAUGCUGGAGGGCUACCUGGGCAGCAGGAGGUGCUGCCAUGGCCGCACCGGGCACCCCACUUCAGCCCUGCAGAGCAUAGAAUCUACUUGUAUCCUAACACUAAAAUGUUCUGGAAGUCAAGUCUGAAGUCAGUUUCACUGAGUGGAAGGCCCGGUGUUUAAUAAAUAAAACAUAAAAAAUGUUAAAAAACAAAA
Suricata suricatta (meerkat) is the source of this 747-nucleotide long non-coding RNA. RefSeq lists it as uncharacterized. NCBI's taxonomy places the organism in Eukaryota, Metazoa, Chordata, Mammalia, Carnivora, Herpestidae. The record is from RefSeq and is a predicted model, not a curated record. The transcript is spliced from 5 exons.